AGCGUACACGGUGGAUGCCCUGGCAGUCAGAGGCGAUGAAGGACGUGCUAAUCUGCGAUAAGCGUCGGUAAGGUGAUAUGAACCGUUAUAACCGGCGAUUUCCGAAUGGGGAAACCCAGUGUGAUUCGUCACACUAUCAUUAACUGAAUCCAUAGGUUAAUGAGGCGAACCGGGGGAACUGAAACAUCUAAGUACCCCGAGGAAAAGAAAUCAACCGAGAUUCCCCCAGUAGCGGCGAGCGAACGGGGAGCAGCCCAGAGCCUGAAUCAGUGUGUGUGUUAGUGGAAGCGUCUGGAAAGGCGUGCGAUACAGGGUGACAGCCCCGUACACAAAAAUGCACAUAUUGUGAGCUCGAUGAGUAGGGCGGGACACGUGGUAUCCUGUCUGAAUAUGGGGGGACCAUCCUCCAAGGCUAAAUACUCCUGACUGACCGAUAGUGAACCAGUACCGUGAGGGAAAGGCGAAAAGAACCCCGGCGAGGGGAGUGAAAAAGAACCUGAAACCGUGUACGUACAAGCAGUGGGAGCACGCUUAGGCGUGUGACUGCGUACCUUUUGUAUAAUGGGUCAGCGACUUAUAUUCUGUAGCAAGGUUAACCGAAUAGGGGAGCCGAAGGGAAACCGAGUCUUAACUGGGCGUUAAGUUGCAGGGUAUAGACCCGAAACCCGGUGAUCUAGCCAUGGGCAGGUUGAAGGUUGGGUAACACUAACUGGAGGACCGAACCGACUAAUGUUGAAAAAUUAGCGGAUGACUUGUGGCUGGGGGUGAAAGGCCAAUCAAACCGGGAGAUAGCUGGUUCUCCCCGAAAGCUAUUUAGGUAGCGCCUCGUGAAUUCAUCUCCGGGGGUAGAGCACUGUUUCGGCAAGGGGGUCAUCCCGACUUACCAACCCGAUGCAAACUGCGAAUACCGGAGAAUGUUAUCACGGGAGACACACGGCGGGUGCUAACGUCCGUCGUGAAGAGGGAAACAACCCAGACCGCCAGCUAAGGUCCCAAAGUCAUGGUUAAGUGGGAAACGAUGUGGGAAGGCCCAGACAGCCAGGAUGUUGGCUUAGAAGCAGCCAUCAUUUAAAGAAAGCGUAAUAGCUCACUGGUCGAGUCGGCCUGCGCGGAAGAUGUAACGGGGCUAAACCAUGCACCGAAGCUGCGGCAGCGACACUAUGUGUUGUUGGGUAGGGGAGCGUUCUGUAAGCCUGCGAAGGUGUGCUGUGAGGCAUGCUGGAGGUAUCAGAAGUGCGAAUGCUGACAUAAGUAACGAUAAAGCGGGUGAAAAGCCCGCUCGCCGGAAGACCAAGGGUUCCUGUCCAACGUUAAUCGGGGCAGGGUGAGUCGACCCCUAAGGCGAGGCCGAAAGGCGUAGUCGAUGGGAAACAGGUUAAUAUUCCUGUACUUGGUGUUACUGCGAAGGGGGGACGGAGAAGGCUAUGUUGGCCGGGCGACGGUUGUCCCGGUUUAAGCGUGUAGGCUGGUUUUCCAGGCAAAUCCGGAAAAUCAAGGUUGAGGCGUGAUGACGAGGCACUACGGUGCUGAAGCAACAAAUGCCCUGCUUCCAGGAAAAGCCUCUAAGCAUCAGGUAACAUCAAAUCGUACCCCAAACCGACACAGGUGGUCAGGUAGAGAAUACCAAGGCGCUUGAGAGAACUCGGGUGAAGGAACUAGGCAAAAUGGUGCCGUAACUUCGGGAGAAGGCACGCUGAUAUGUAGGUGAAGUCCCUCGCGGAUGGAGCUGAAAUCAGUCGAAGAUACCAGCUGGCUGCAACUGUUUAUUAAAAACACAGCACUGUGCAAACACGAAAGUGGACGUAUACGGUGUGACGCCUGCCCGGUGCCGGAAGGUUAAUUGAUGGGGUUAGCGCAAGCGAAGCUCUUGAUCGAAGCCCCGGUAAACGGCGGCCGUAACUAUAACGGUCCUAAGGUAGCGAAAUUCCUUGUCGGGUAAGUUCCGACCUGCACGAAUGGCGUAAUGAUGGCCAGGCUGUCUCCACCCGAGACUCAGUGAAAUUGAACUCGCUGUGAAGAUGCAGUGUACCCGCGGCAAGACGGAAAGACCCCGUGAACCUUUACUAUAGCUUGACACUGAACAUUGAGCCUUGAUGUGUAGGAUAGGUGGGAGGCUUGGAAGUGUGGACGCCAGUCUGCAUGGAGCCGACCUUGAAAUACCACCCUUUAAUGUUUGAUGUUCUAACGUUGACCCGUAAUCCGGGUUGCGGACAGUGUCUGGUGGGUAGUUUGACUGGGGCGGUCUCCUCCUAAAGAGUAACGGAGGAGCACGAAGGUUGGCUAAUCCUGGUCGGACAUCAGGAGGUUAGUGCAAUGGCAUAAGCCAGCUUGACUGCGAGCGUGACGGCGCGAGCAGGUGCGAAAGCAGGUCAUAGUGAUCCGGUGGUUCUGAAUGGAAGGGCCAUCGCUCAACGGAUAAAAGGUACUCCGGGGAUAACAGGCUGAUACCGCCCAAGAGUUCAUAUCGACGGCGGUGUUUGGCACCUCGAUGUCGGCUCAUCACAUCCUGGGGCUGAAGUAGGUCCCAAGGGUAUGGCUGUUCGCCAUUUAAAGUGGUACGCGAGCUGGGUUUAGAACGUCGUGAGACAGUUCGGUCCCUAUCUGCCGUGGGCGCUGGAGAAUUGAGGGGGGCUGCUCCUAGUACGAGAGGACCGGAGUGGACGCAUCACUGGUGUUCGGGUUGUCAUGCCAAUGGCACUGCCCGGUAGCUAAAUGCGGAAGAGAUAAGUGCUGAAAGCAUCUAAGCACGAAACUUGCCCCGAGAUGAGUUCUCCCUGACUCCUUGA
RNAcentral lists this ribosomal RNA (2786 nucleotides) under Escherichia coli. RNAcentral's name for it is "bacterial LSU rRNA". It matches the Rfam family "Bacterial large subunit ribosomal RNA". The record is from RNAcentral. Lineage: Bacteria; Pseudomonadati; Pseudomonadota; Gammaproteobacteria; Enterobacterales; Enterobacteriaceae.